Molecule: transfer RNA, 99 nt
Filed under: Gammaproteobacteria bacterium
Lineage: Bacteria; Pseudomonadati; Pseudomonadota; Gammaproteobacteria
Description: tRNA-OTHER
Source: RNAcentral
CGGGGAAGGUGUACAAGUGAUUGAUUUAGUUAGGAAUAUAGGAAAAUAUCUGCCUUCGGGAGGCAGGGGCCGGAGGUUCAAAUCCUCUCACCCCGACCA